CCGAGUGCGGGCCCCCUGGGGUCCAACCUCCCACCCGUGUCUAUCGUACCUUGUUGCUUCGGCGGGCCUGUCGCCCGCGGCCGCCUGGAGGCACCUGUCUCUGGGCGCGUGCCCGCCGAAGACCCCUCUGAACGCUGCCUGAAGGUUGCAGUCUGAGUGGCUUAGCGAAAUCGUUA
Molecule: unclassified non-coding RNA, 176 nt
Filed under: soil metagenome
Description: partial internal transcribed spacer 1
Source: RNAcentral